CACCACAAAUCUUUAACAAAAAGAUGGAAAAGAAAAGGUACAAACGUUUACACGAGAGAAGUUGAAAGGACUUGGAUAGUGAGGGUCAUCUCCACUUUGAAAGUAAUAGCUGAAAGUUGGAAGUUCAGGCAGCCUAAACCAUUCACCAUUGAUGAACACCUCCAAAGAGGGAUAAACAGGGAAACCAGCCCUGCUGAAAGUUUUAAGUACAAAAUUAACCAAAAAAAAAAAAAAAAGCGGUUCAAAGUUCCAACUUUGAUUUCCAUCAAUGAAAGUUGCAAGGAAUUGAAGUAUAUUGCCUCAAUCUUUUCCAUUCAUAUUCUUUGCACACCUCUUGUUCAGAGAAGAACAAACAUUUUGAUGGUCCAUGGAAAAGAAAGAGAUGGCGGCAAAUCCUCUUCUGGCAGGAAUGCAAGACAAUCAAUGAUGCAGAGCUGCUGAGGUCCUUCUCUGGGCAGGAAUUCUGAGAGUGCGUGGUGUUUUGAUCAACAGAUUUCAAACUUGAUAGUCCAGAUGGUGUGAGUGGAAGAGAGCCGCUGUUGUUUGAGCACUGUCUCCAACAGAUCCUCACUUCCCCUGAUCUGAAAUUCUCCAAGGGAGACAUAGCACAGCUCGAUUCCACUGUUAAAAAAUACCCCAUAUUAUAAAUGCAAAUAUAGACUAGGCAAAAUGAAGAAAGCAAAAGAAAAGGAAGGUAAAUUACAAUUUACAAAUCAUCAGUGUUCAACCGAAGAUCGAUAUAUAUUUGUGGUGAAAUCUGUAGAGGAGCAACCAGCAUCCUUGUCAGCAUCCUUGUCAGCCUCCUUGUUUACUAACGCAAUGUACUGGCAUUCAUCCAAACACAAUUAAGUGGUGCUAAAUACAGAUAAGUGUCAAAUUAACUUUGAAUUUUGUUGGAAAAUUUGAGGACAAUCAAUAUAACAUAGCAACAGACAAGUUGUAUAGUUGAAUUACAUUGAUCUAUAAAGGAAGAAUAAAUUACACUCAAGUGUUCAACUACUUACACUGAAAUCUGUAGGCGCAGCAGCUAGCCACCAAGUCUAUUUACCUCCACCACAAAUCUUUAACAAAAAUAUGGAAAAGAAAAGGUACAAACGAUUACACGAGAGAAGUUGUAAGGACUUGGAUAGUGAGGUUCAUCUCCACUUUGAAAGUAAUAGCUGAAAGUUGGAAGUUCAGGCAGCCUAAACCAUUCGCCAUUGAUGAACAGCUCCAAAGAGGGAUAAACAGGGAAACCAGCCCUACUGAAAGUUUCAAGUAC
RNAcentral lists this long non-coding RNA (1261 nucleotides) under Malus domestica (apple). RNAcentral describes it as "long non-coding RNA (MDOM_LNC002322)". The record is from RNAcentral. Lineage: Eukaryota; Viridiplantae; Streptophyta; Magnoliopsida; Rosales; Rosaceae.